Long non-coding RNA from Magallana angulata, 1159 nucleotides. RefSeq lists it as uncharacterized. The record is from RefSeq and is a predicted model, not a curated record. NCBI's taxonomy places the organism in Eukaryota, Metazoa, Mollusca, Bivalvia, Ostreida, Ostreidae. The transcript has 3 exons.
UAUAUAUACCUGACUUAUGCAUUUGGUAGACCGAUUGUAUUAUUUUAUCUUUAUUAGGGAGACCAGUAGAUUAGGGAGACAUAUUUUGGUCUCCGUAUUAUUUUGACCUUGUCUAAAAUGUAAUUGGCUUAUCUUUAAAUGAAUGAACGGUGUGUCUUUGCCUAAAAUGCAUCAAUGUGUCUAUUAUUUGACAUCCAAUAGUUGCCUUUUGUCUAUAUUUUUUCGUAAAAAGGAAUUCAAUCUGCCUCCAUCGUAUAAUUAGCAAUGACUAUUUUUCUGCAUUUAGGAGACCAACGAAAACUUGCAAUAUUGCAAAAAAUCUAACAUAUAUAAUUUGUUUAGCCUUUGAUUAUUCUAAAUGAACUUGUUUUCAAAAUACUUUUUCACUUUUUAUGUAUAAAGCCUAACUAGAAAAAAAGUCGUUAAUUUCUUGACCAUGUUUGAACAUUUGGCAAGUGCUCUCCGCCAUUUGUUCCGAGUACUCUCGGAACGUCUCGGGUUAAAACAAUGGACCUUUUAACGCCAGCGUGUUGCCUUUUAGGAAUCAAAGCCAUUUUAUGGUAAGUACUUUUGAUAAUCCUACUACAAUUGAACAAAGUAAUGUUUUUAUGAAGUUUUUUUUUAAAAAUAUUCAAAUAAAAUAGGGCGAUAAUGUGUGCAACUUGACUAUUUUACACCAAAUGUUGAUUAAUCUUCGAGGACAUUCGAAACGAAGUUAACAAUAAAAGCAUGAUUUUCAUUUCCACUGUACGUUUGAUGUAAUAUGUAAUUCAAGGAUUUAUCAGUACCUUCUCCAGAGCAAAAGUCGUCCCCAUUCCCAAUUGGAAAUAAUUAAGUUCACUUCAGCAGCUGUCCAAAUUAUGAUCCCAAUUAGUAUAGCAGUAUUUUUCCCCAACUGGUAAGAUAGUCAGGCCUCCAUGUUUACAACCGGGAUGCUCACCCCACAUUUACAAUUGUGACCCACAUUUACAAAUGUGACAUCAUAGUAUCACUCUCGUUUGGCUUUUCGGAUAUUAUCAGGUUUUGGAGUUAUUAGCACAACCAGUCAUGUCAGUGGAGAUUUUCUCCUGCAGGAGAAACAUUAAAAGGACAGGAUGGGGAGGAGAGAUUGAAGACAAGCACAGAAAACAAAAUAUUUAUCUAUAAAUAUAAUGGAAAA